Molecule: ribosomal RNA, 221 nt
Filed under: uncultured bacterium
Lineage: Bacteria
Description: partial 16S ribosomal RNA
Rfam family: Bacterial small subunit ribosomal RNA
Source: RNAcentral
UAAAUGCUUGGGAAUCUAGCUUAUGGAGGGGGAUAACUACGGGAAACUGUAGCUAAUACCGCGUAGAAUCGGGAGAUGAAAGUGUGGGACCUUCGGGCCACAUGCCAUAGGAUGAGCCCAAGUGGGAUUAGGUAGUUGGUGAGGUAAAGGCUCACCAAGCCGACGAUCUCUAGCUGGUCUGAGAGGAUGACCAGCCACACUGGGACUGAGACACGGCCCAG